This is a long non-coding RNA of Drosophila simulans, 727 nucleotides long. RefSeq lists it as uncharacterized. The transcript is spliced from 3 exons. NCBI's taxonomy places the organism in Eukaryota, Metazoa, Arthropoda, Insecta, Diptera, Drosophilidae. The record is from RefSeq and is a predicted model, not a curated record.
UUUUCGGAAAAUAAUUGGACGUACGAUACUGCGGAAAAUUAUGCAUUUUGGGGACGGAUUUUGUGGCUUAUAAGUGUGGUGUCAGCUCCGCGCUAGUGAUCCUUGAUGAUGCAGUGGCAUCAAGAGGUGGAGACGGCGUCGUAAAAAUGUAAAUUUUUUGUGUUUAUAAUCGCGAUAGCUGCCGAUUUUGUUUUUCUUUUGCGGAGACCGCCUCUUCUUGUUUGUUGCAUUGGAUUACCAGUUGGCUGUAGUCAAGGAGGUUUUAGCGUCAACUAAUGUAGGCGCUCGUCGUUCUGGAUCAGCCCGUCUAUUGCAGCGCAGCAUGCAUGUAGAUUGCAUCGGUGAUAAGGGAUACUAAUCAGGACCGUGUGGCAAGAUAGUUCAGGACUUGUUUGUAUUUUUCCGUAUCUUUCAUCAGUAUCAGCUGGAGUGCGUUUUCGUAAGCUUGAUUAUCCGGAUGCUUUGAGGUGUGAGUAUUGAUUCUAUUGUUUAUAUUUUAAUGCCAUUAUCUAAUUGAGUUUGUAUUCUAAGAAAAUUAGGCUGCGUCGAGGAAGGAGAUGACCGUGCAGGAGUUUGGGAGCAGAUUGACGUGCGCUUUUCCAUCGGAUAUAGAUGUCGUUAGAAUAAGUAUAAGUAGAUGUAGGAUUAAUUGGAAGUUUCCAUGUCAAGAUUGUUAACUCUUCCUUGUAUGAUUAAGGCCAAUAAACUGUCAAUUUUCUUUUCUAAA